RNAcentral lists this ribosomal RNA (963 nucleotides) under Triticum aestivum (bread wheat). RNAcentral's name for it is "partial small subunit ribosomal RNA". Lineage: Eukaryota; Viridiplantae; Streptophyta; Magnoliopsida; Poales; Poaceae. The record is from RNAcentral.
AUGAGAUAUCUGGGAGUGCCUGUAAGCUUUUCCACUCUACGAGCUCUUGACUGGAGUUUUGUGGAUGAGAAAUUCCUUAAAUGUUGUGAGUCCUGGAUUGGUAAUUCGGCUUCCUCUGGGGGAAGAUUGACACUCCUUAAUUCUUCCCUUACAAGCAUCAUUUACUACUAUAUGUCUAUGUUCAUGCUCCGUAAAAAGAUCAUUGAGAAGUUGGACAAGCACAGAAAAAAGUUCUUUUGGCAGGAAACUGGUGGUCGGAAAAGAUACCAUUUGGUUAAAUGGUAUAGAAUUUGUAGAUCCAAAAAUAAGGGGGGAUUAGGAGUAAAAGAUCUCCAUGAACAAAAUAUUAGCCUCCUCACCAAAUGGUGGUGGAAGCUGGAGAUACAACAAGGCCUUUGGCAAGAUGUGGUUCGGGCCAAGUACUUUAAAAAUGAUACAGUAUCCUCGGUGAAGUGUAAAUUUGGGGAUUCCCCCAUUUGGAAGGCCAUUUUAAAAGUCAAAGAGAUAUACUUGGCUGGGAGAGAGGUGGUCUUGAAAUCUGGAGAUAUUACUAGACUGUGGAGUGACACUAUUCUGGGGGAGCCCCCUUUGCGAAAUCGAUUCUCAGCUCUAUUUGGUAUUUGUAACUACCAAGAGAUUACAGUGCCUGAUUUUAAGAAUUUUACGGGCAAUGAUUUCUUUAGAAGACGGCUGCACCCUCCUCUUGUAGAUCAGUGGAUCAAGCUGGCAGGGGUGGUGAAAUCCUGGCCAGUGUCAACGGAACCUGACCAGGUUAGCUGGGCCCUUGGUAGGAAGAAAAAUUUCACUACAAAAUCAUUCUAUGUCUACCUGGAGAGACAGUUGGUAGGAUGUGACUAUAGGUGGAUCUGGAAAGCUAAGAUACCCCUUAAAAUUCAGAUUUUCCUUUGGCAGCUGUUCCAAGAUGCCAUUCUGACUAGAGAGGUCAUGAAAAAUAGAAAAUGA